GCAAAACUCAAAAACUUAGUCUCAGUUCGGAUGUAGGCUGAAACUCGCCUACAUGAAGCUGGAGUUGCUAGUAAUCGCGAAUCAGCAUGUCGCGGUGAAUACGUUCCCGGGCCUUGUACACACCGCCCGUCACACCAUGAGAGUUGGCAAUACCCAACGUACGUGAUCUAACCCGCAAGGGAGGAAGCGUCCUAAGGUAGGGUCAGCGAUUGGGGUGAAGUCGUAACAAGGUAUC
Molecule: ribosomal RNA, 235 nt
Filed under: uncultured bacterium
Lineage: Bacteria
Description: partial 16S ribosomal RNA
Rfam family: Bacterial small subunit ribosomal RNA
Source: RNAcentral